GUAAGAUGAAGGAAGGCGAACUGCUCAGUAACACGUAGUUAAUCUGCCCUUAGGUGAGGAAUAAGCACGGGAAACUGUGUCUAAUGCCUCAUAGGAGAUUCUGUCUGGAAGGACUUCUCUCCGAAAUUCGUGCCUAAGGAUGAGACUGCGGCUGAUUAGCUUGUUGGUGGGGUAAUUGCCUACCAAGGCUAUGAUCAGUAAGGGCUCUUAGCGGAGUUGCCCUGAGAAGGAAUCUGAGACACUAUUCCUAGCCCUACGGGGUGCAGCAGCAGCGAAUCUUUUGCAAUGCACGAAAGUGUGACAAAGCGAACCAAAGUGUUUUUCAUUUUGAAAAACUUUUCUUCACUGUAAAAAUGUGGGGGAAUAAGGACUGGGCAAGACGAGUGCCAGCCGCCGCGGUAAUACUCGCGGUCCGAGUUGCAAUCAUUUUUAUUGGGUCUAAACCAUCCGUAGCUUGUUUAACAAGUCUCUUGUGAAAUUCCACGUCUCAAGCGUAGAGCGGGCAAGAGAUACUGUUAGGCUAGAGACCGGUAGAUGUAAGGAGUACGGUCGAGGUAGUGGUAAAAUAUGUUAAUCUCGAUUGGACUAACCAUCAGCGAAGGCACCUUACAAGGACGGAUCUGACAGUGAGGGAUGAAGGCCAGGGGCGCAAAACGGAUUAGAUACCCGUGUAGUCCUGGCAGUAAACACUGCUCACUAAACAUUGGGCCCUCUUCGGGAGGAUUCAGUGCUGAAGCGAAGGCGUAGAGUGAGCUACCUGGGAAGUAUAGUCGCAAGGUCGAAACUUAAAGGAAUUGGCGGGGAGACACUACAACGAGUGACGCGUGCGGUUCAAUUAGAUUCUACACCGUGAACCUCACCAGGAGCGACAGCAGGAUGAAGGUCAGUCUAAAGGGCUUACCUGACACGCUGAGCGGAGAUGCAUGGCCGACGUCAGCCUGUGUUGUGAAAUGACCUGUUAAAUCAGGUAACAGGCGAGACCCGUGUGUAUAAUUACUACCGAAAGGAGAACAUUAUACAGACUGCCUUGGUAACAAGGAGGAAGGUGCGGGCUACGUCAGGUGAGUACAUCCUUAACCCCCUGGGCUACACGCGCGCGGCAAUGGUAGACUCAAUGAGAUGCGACUCCGAGAGGAGAAGCUAAUCCCUUAAUGUCUAUCCCAGUGCAGAUUGAGGCUUGCAACCCAGCCUCAUGACGAUGGAAUUCGUAGUAAUCGGAUAUUAGCAAUGUCCGGUGAAUAUGUCCCUGUCUCUUGCACACACCGCCCGUCAAACCAUCCGAGUUGUGCGGAGUUGAAGUUCGUAUGAAAAGAAAUUUUGUUCGACAAGGUAGGUUAAGUCGUCACAAGGU
RNAcentral lists this ribosomal RNA (1351 nucleotides) under metagenome. Its description in RNAcentral is "bacterial SSU rRNA". It matches the Rfam family "Archaeal small subunit ribosomal RNA". The record is from RNAcentral.